This 928-nucleotide small RNA is filed under the name Pan troglodytes (chimpanzee). RNAcentral describes it as "processed transcript". The record is from RNAcentral. Lineage: Eukaryota; Metazoa; Chordata; Mammalia; Primates; Hominidae.
UGGGACCGCAGGCAUGCCUGGCUAAUUUUUGUAUUUUUUGUAGAGAAGACGGGGUCUCCCUAUGUUGCCCAGGCUGGUAACACAGUGUAACCUGAUGUGCUUCCCUGGGAACCCAGCCUGACAGAAACUGCAGCUGAACAGCAGCAAAAGUGUUGGAAAGGGCAAAGAAAUUACAAGAACAGCGAGAAAAGGAAAUGGUUGAAAAACAAAAACAACAAGAAAUAGCUGCAGCUGCAGCUACUGGAGGUUCUGUUCUCAAUGUUGCUGCCCUGUUGGCAUCAGGAACACAAGUAACACCUCAGAUAGCCAUGGCAGCUCAGAUGGCAGCCCUGCAAGCUAAAGCUUUGGCAGAGACAGGAAUAGCUGUUCCUAGCUACUAUAACCCAGCCGCUGUUAAUCCAAUGAAAUUUGCUGAACAAGAGAAAAAAAGGAAAAUGCUUUGGCAGGGCAAGAAAGAAGGGGACAAAUCCCAAUCUGCUGAAAUAUGGGAAAAAUUGAAUUUUGGAAACAAGGACCAAAAUGUCAAAUUUAGGAAAUUGAUGGGUAUUAAGAGUGAAGAUGAAGCUGGAUGUAGCUCAGUUGAUGAAGAAAGUUACAAGACUCUGAAGCAGCAGGAAGAAGUAUUUCGAAAUUUAGAUGCUCAGUAUGAAAUGGCAAGAUCACAAACCCACACACAAAGAGGAAUGGGUUUGGGUUUCACAUCUUCAAUGCGAGGAAUGGAUGCAGUUUGAAAAUGAUCACACUUGUAAAGUUUGGGACUUAUAGACUUCUUGUUCUGAUGUCACGUCCUUGUUCACCAAACAGCUAGCACUCUAGCUUGCAUGGGUGUUGCAUUGACUUUAAUUUAUUGAAAAAUACAAAUUUUUGUAAAUAUCAGAUCAGUGAUACUGGUGUUAGUGUUGUAAUCAGGUUAAACCCACUUCCAUUA